GGUUAAGCGACUAAGCGUACACGGUGGAUGCCCUGGCAGUCAGAGGCGAUGAAGGACGUGCUAAUCUGCGAAAAGCGCCGGCGAGGUGAUAUGAACCCUUGACCCGGCGAUGUCCGAAUGGGGAAACCCAGUGUGUUUCGACACACUAUCGUUAACUGAAUACAUAGGUUAACGAGGCGAACCGGGGGAACUGAAACAUCUAAGUACCCCGAGGAAAAGAAAUCAACCGAGAUUCCCCCAGUAGCGGCGAGCGAACGGGGAGCAGCCCGGAGUCUGAAUCAGCUUGUGUGUUAGUGGAACGGUCUGGAAAGUCCGACGGUACAGGGUGAUAGUCCCGUACACGAAAACACACUUGCUGUGAACUCGAAGAGUAGGGCGGGACACGUGGUAUCCUGUCUGAAUAUGGGGGGACCAUCCUCCAAGGCUAAAUACUCCUGACUGACCGAUAGUGAACCAGUACCGUGAGGGAAAGGCGAAAAGAACCCCGGCGAGGGGAGUGAAAAAGAACCUGAAACCGUGUACGUACAAGCAGUGGGAGCCUCUUUAUGGGGUGACUGCGUACCUUUUGUAUAAUGGGUCAGCGACUUAUAUUCUGUAGCAAGGUUAACCGUAUAGGGGAGCCGAAGGGAAACCGAGUCUUAACUGGGCGUUAAGUUGCAGGGUAUAGACCCGAAACCCGGUGAUCUAGCCAUGGGCAGGUUGAAGGUUGGGUAACACUAACUGGAGGACCGAACCGACUAAUGUUGAAAAAUUAGCGGAUGACCUGUGGCUGGGGGUGAAAGGCCAAUCAAACCGGGAGAUAGCUGGUUCUCCCCGAAAGCUAUUUAGGUAGCGCCUCGUGAACUCAUCUUCGGGGGUAGAGCACUGUUUCGGCUAGGGGGCCAUCCCGGCUUACCAACCCGAUGCAAACUACGAAUACCGAAGAAUGUUAUCACGGGAGACACACGGCGGGUGCUAACGUCCGUCGUGAAGAGGGAAACAACCCAGACCGCCAGCUAAGGUCCCAAAGUCAUGGUUAAGUGGGAAACGAUGUGGGAAGGCACAGACAGCCAGGAUGUUGGCUUAGAAGCAGCCAUCAUUUAAAGAAAGCGUAAUAGCUCACUGGUCGAGUCGGCCUGCGCGGAAGAUGUAACGGGGCUAAACCAUGCACCGAAGCUGCGGCAGCGACACUAUGUGUUGUUGGGUAGGGGAGCGUUCUGUAAGCCGUUGAAGGUGUGCUGUGAGGCAUGCUGGAGGUAUCAGAAGUGCGAAUGCUGACAUAAGUAACGAUAAAGCGGGUGAAAAGCCCGCUCGCCGGAAGACCAAGGGUUCCUGUCCAACGUUAAUCGGGGCAGGGUGAGUCGACCCCUAAGGCGAGGCCGAAAGGCGUAGUCGAUGGGAAACAGGUUAAUAUUCCUGUACUUGGUGUUACUGCGAAGGGGGGACGGAGAAGGCUAUGUCAGCCGGGCGACGGUUGUCCCGGUUUAAGCAUGUAGGCGGAGGUUCCAGGUAAAUCCGGUACCUUAUUAACGCUGAGGUGUGAUGACGAGGCACUACGGUGCUGAAGUGAUAAAUGCCCUGCUUCCAGGAAAAGCCUCUAAGCAUCAGGUAACACGAAAUCGUACCCCAAACCGACACAGGUGGUCAGGUAGAGAAUACCAAGGCGCUUGAGAGAACUCGGGUGAAGGAACUAGGCAAAAUGGUGCCGUAACUUCGGGAGAAGGCACGCUGAUAUGUAGGUGAAGUCCCUGCGGACGGAGCUGAAAUCAGUCGAAGAUACCAGCUGGCUGCAACUGUUUAUUAAAAACACAGCACUGUGCAAACACGAAAGUGGACGUAUACGGUGUGACGCCUGCCCGGUGCCGGAAGGUUAAUUGAUGGGGUUAGCGGCAACGCGAAGCUCUUGAUCGAAGCCCCGGUAAACGGCGGCCGUAACUAUAACGGUCCUAAGGUAGCGAAAUUCCUUGUCGGGUAAGUUCCGACCUGCACGAAUGGCGUAAUGAUGGCCAGGCUGUCUCCACCCGAGACUCAGUGAAAUUGAACUCGCUGUGAAGAUGCAGUGUACCCGCGGCAAGACGGAAAGACCCCGUGAACCUUUACUAUAGCUUGACACUGAACACUGGUCCUUGAUGUGUAGGAUAGGUGGGAGGCUUUGAAGCGUGGACGCCAGUCUGCGUGGAGCCGUCCUUGAAAUACCACCCUUUAAUGGCUGGUGUUCUAACGUAGACCCGUGAUCCGGGUUGCGGACAGUGUCUGGUGGGUAGUUUGACUGGGGCGGUCUCCUCCCAAAGAGUAACGGAGGAGCACGAAGGUUGGCUAAUCCUGGUCGGACAUCAGGAGGUUAGUGCAAUGGCAUAAGCCAGCUUGACUGCGAGCGUGACGGCGCGAGCAGGUGCGAAAGCAGGUCAUAGUGAUCCGGUGGUUCUGAAUGGAAGGGCCAUCGCUCAACGGAUAAAAGGUACUCCGGGGAUAACAGGCUGAUACCGCCCAAGAGUUCAUAUCGACGGCGGUGUUUGGCACCUCGAUGUCGGCUCAUCACAUCCUGGGGCUGAAGUAGGUCCCAAGGGUAUGGCUGUUCGCCAUUUAAAGUGGUACGCGAGCUGGGUUUAGAACGUCGUGAGACAGUUCGGUCCCUAUCUGCCGUGGGCGCUGGAGAAUUGAGGGGGGCUGCUCCUAGUACGAGAGGACCGGAGUGGACGCAUCACUGGUGUUCGGGUUGUCAUGCCAAUGGCACUGCCCGGUAGCUAAAUGCGGAAGAGAUAAGUGCUGAAAGCAUCUAAGCACGAAACUUGCCCCGAGAUGAGUUCUCCCUGAGAC
Molecule: ribosomal RNA, 2796 nt
Filed under: Enterobacter hormaechei
Lineage: Bacteria; Pseudomonadati; Pseudomonadota; Gammaproteobacteria; Enterobacterales; Enterobacteriaceae
Description: partial 23S ribosomal RNA
Rfam family: Bacterial large subunit ribosomal RNA
Source: RNAcentral